RNAcentral lists this long non-coding RNA (750 nucleotides) under Cyanistes caeruleus (blue tit). RNAcentral's name for it is "lncRNA (ENSCCEG00000013357.1)". The record is from RNAcentral. Lineage: Eukaryota; Metazoa; Chordata; Aves; Passeriformes; Paridae.
AUAAAUAAUGAAUAAUAAAUAAUAAAUAAAUAAUAAAUAAUAAAAAUAAAAUAAAAAGUAAUACAGACAUCAGUCAUUACAUUUAGGACCGUUUUCACCUGAAAUAUCUUACAGCUGGAGAUCAGGAUACCAGUUCUUUACCCUACUCAUAGUGUGCAUAUUAGAUCUAUCGGAGAGUCUACCAGGAAUUCAGCUACUAAACAUUUGAGAAGAGUAAUAUAGCAUUUGAAGACCUUUUCAAGAAUAGCCAUUUCACAGGGAAGGUCUGGAACACUUUGUUCGGGAAAAUUGUACUCACUGAAAACUUCCAAGGGUUCAAAGGGCGACUGGACAAGUACAUAGGAAAAAAAAUAUCUAAAAAGAACUAUUAAAUACAAAGCAACUAAGCCUGGUUCAGGGAAUCCUUGCAGGCUGGGGGGUUUCAGAAGUGUUGCUGUGUAUGUUCUCUGUUCUUAUUCUUUCCCUCAAGGUGCCUGUUGUUCCAGUUUAGAACUGUCACCCUUCACUCCCAUCCCUACAAAACCUACAAUGAUACUUUACAAAGGAAGUUUAAAGAAGAGAUUGAGGAGAAAUAACCAACUACAGAGAUCCCACAGGAUGACAUUGGCGUAACUGAUUCACUGCUGACACCAAACAAUUGGAGUCAUCCCACACCAGUGAGAUGGGAGCUGCCCAGGAGCUCUGGGAAACAUGGGAAUUGACAUGUUUCUGUGGAAAUAAAACUCCUGGCAGGAUUUUGUGGUCCUUGCA